AGGUUCCAGCAGCUCUUCUCCUCUUUGGCUUCAUCAGUCUUCAUUUUUUGUUUUACACUGGAGUUUGCUCUUCUCCUCGUCAUGUAGAUGUCUUCGUUUUUCACCCAGACGUUUCUUACGAGGAAAAAAGCUUCUAAGAAAUGGGGUUCAGACAAUGCAGUGGUAUUAGGCCUUUAAAUCAGCUGAUUUGUAGAUGAUGGACCUGAUAACAUAUAAUCUAACCUAUAGAAUCAAACGUACAGAAAACCAAAGAAAGAGAAAGAAGAAGAGGAAAACAAUAGAGCUACACAAAAAAGAGAGUUAGGGUUUAAACCUAAUAAAUAAAUACAUUAUCAGGCCCAUGCAAUGUCGGAAUGGGAUUCACGCCGACUCCACAUGAAUAAAAAAUGUAAAAGAAUCCCACGCCACCCCUUAUAUAAUUAUCCGUUUUAGAAAUUGCUAAUUACGAGUGUAAAAUUUUUAGUGGGAUUUAUAUUGUACAUAAAAUUCGUAGGAUCUAGGGUGUAUAUACUCGAGCUUCAAAUGGGAUCCAAGCUGUACAUAAGAAUCAUCGAAUUCAAACUUUUCAUACUUGAGCUUCUAGUUGUACUAGAAUUAUUUCUAGAAGUUUCAUGUAAUUUUAAACAAGGACGUCGUGAUUUGUUUUACAAUAAAGUCAUGAGUACGGAAAUUUUUUAAUAGAAGUUAUACUGAUAAUAAUGUGGAUAAAUGUGAAUAGACCAUUUUUUUCUUUUUUUUUUUCCUCUCUUCUAAUCUAAUGAUGUCAUGACAUGUGUUAUCUAUAAGAUUUUUUUGUCAAAAAAAUUUUGUACCUGUAACAUUGUUCUUUGUUUUCAAUGUCCCUUCGGCUCCCACGUGAGAAGGUACUCAAAAGUCCUAUAUGCACGAGUUGAAUUUAUUUUUUGUGUCGUGAUUAAUGAAGGAGUAUACUAAUUAUAGCACUUGUUUGAACUCCAUUUUUCAAUAAUACAUUUUUUCUUGAAAUUUAUUUUCAAUCACAUAUUCUUUUAACAAGAUAAUAUUACACGUAAAUUAAAACUUUUUUCUACUUUUCAACUACAUAUUCACUAAAACUUUACAAUUCCAAAAUCUCUUUUUACGUAAUAAUGGGGCUCCAACAAGGGAAUAAUUGUUACUCCUCAUCCUACGAGACUUCAAUCAUUGACCAUGUGAUAGCUAACUAACAACCCACGUCGACCUUGCACUCUAUGUCACCAAUUUAUUUGGCCUAACCGAGGCCAUUAAACACUAAAUUAACCCUGUAACUAUAUUACAAUCCCUAAUAUUCCCCAAAAAAAAUCUUUAAAAUCUUUGAAAAAAUUCUGAAAAUCAUAGAAAAUCCUUGUAUGUUGCAUUCUUUAAUUGACUAUUCGUAAGUACCAUGCUUCCACUGCAAAGCGAGUGAAUACCCUCAUGAUUUUCUUAAGUCAUUCUCAAAUAACCUAUACUAAAUCUUAACUUGAGAAAUACCUUAUUAUCGUAAAACGUAUAUUGUUCGAUACAUGAUAAACACUAAUGUUCUACUCCACUUGAACGUGAAAGAUGCUUUCUUAACGUGGAGAAGUAAAAAUACAUGAAUUGUUGCUCAUUGUAGUGGUAUAACUUGAUGAUAAGCUAAACUUCUCGCUUUUUUUGAAAGUUUGAAAAUCUCUGUUACCACUUGUAGAGCUCUAAUAACACUUCAAAGGAUCCGAUUAAUGAUUAAGUGUGACCUUACAUGCGAAAUUAAUACAAUUAAAAGCAACAAGUUCCCUUUUAAUUGUUUCCAGAUGGUUAAUCAAAUAGUCUAAUUAUCCUUAGUUGAAUUGUCACAGUUUGUAAUAAGAGAGAGUAAAUAACAUCAGAUAUAUUAACGGAGAAACCCAAUCGGGUAAAAAAUUUGGGGCCAAAUCAGUUAUCUCCACUAUAGGCAAUAUGAAUUUACAUUAGAUGUUGCCUAACCAGACUUCCUGAUCUACUUCUUGUAACCUCCAAGAUCCUAUUGAGAUCACCUGCUCCCAAUCUCCAACAAUUGUCUCUUCGAAGUGGAUAAACAAGAAUGACCAAUUAUUGUACUCUUCUUGCAAUUGUAGUCCAACCUCUCUCAAUCUUUAGCAACUUUUGAAAUUCAAUUGAGAAAGUACCUUCUUGAGGUGUUUAGGAAGUAGGUCUUUUGGAUUCAAUGUUUUUCCCCACAAUCUGUGGUGGUCUAAUCUUAACUUUUUACAACAUUUUGUUUCCGUUCUUUUGUUCACGGAAUUGCGAGUUACAUAAAACCUAACAAACUUCUCAUUUGGCAUUAUAUGACAAAACUAUAUAAUUAAAGUUAAGGUAGUAAGAGCACAUUAUCUAAUCUAUCCAAGCUUUGUUUCUUGCAUUCCUUGUUAAACUUGUUUCUCAAACACCAAAUGUAAAAGUACGUAAUAAAAAAAAUAUAGCAAUAUAGGCACAUGAUGUAGAGCCCCGAAAAAAAAUUAAUUAAUUUAAAUUAUUUUAUUUCAUAUGCUAUAUUUUUUAAAUUUCGAAAAUUUAGGGACAAAAAUGGAAUAGUUUAACUUUGGUUUUAUAUUUAUUAUUUUUUUGCCAAAUGAUCUAGCGAAAAUGCAAUAAUAAUUUGUGCUGAUCCAUAAGUUUGAUUUCUUCAAAAUCACUUCAAAUACGUCUCUAAUACCCACUAAAAUUUGGGUCAUUACAAUACAUUAUACUCUAAUAAUUUCCAUCACUUGUCUGCAUAUUUCUUUAUUAGUCUGGACUGGACAUUUUCUCCAAAAUCCUAUCAACGAGUUACAAUAUAUCAUCUAUUAAGAUUGAACUAAAGGACUCUCACUAUCCAGUAUCCACAUUAUCCCAAUAUAAUGGUUUUUAGCACUUUUUUCCACGUAUGAUUUCGAAUGGCUGGAUUCUGAUCAAAACUCAUCACUUAUCGUUCUAUGAAAAUUUGAUCUUGUUGGUGUGAAAAGUGGAAAGUGCAAGCUCGGAGCAUAUCUUAAGAUUAUUGGAUCAUUUUGUUCCAUUUGCAUAAUAAUUAUACCUAAAUACCUAAUUAUUAUAUGUUCCUAGUCAACCUUCAUAACAAUGGAAAUCUACGUCAUCGUAUUGAUUAUUCUACAUACAAUCUAGAAUAUCGUACAUUCAUAAAAGUAAUUUCUAAUUGUCUGUAGAUUAUACUAUUAUCCAUAUCGCAUCAUUGUCAAUAUCAUUGUAGUGUGUAUUUUGUUCUAUCAAAUGAUUAUACUUGAUAGACCCUUUUAUGCAUUUUUUUCCUUUAGCGAAAAUGUUUGUCUUGUGACCCUCUGCCAAUCAUUGAUAAGUGUAUUUGUAAGGCCAUUAUUCUAGAAUAUUAUGUAUUGAUUUUGAGGAAUUAUUGUUUAAAUUUGUUUAAAAUUCAUUUGUUUGUUAAGCUUGACGCAAAAAUGUGAAAUUGAAAGAAAUGAAUGAAAAUGGGUAAAAGAAAGAAAGAAAAAAAAUCUAAAGUUUAGGGACCAAGUGCAAGCUUUUAAAAGUUAAUAUGGACCAAAUAUCGAUGAUUGAAGAGUGCAGAGAGUCAAUUUGAUGCAAAUGGAAGACUAAGGAUUGUAAUUGCAUAGAAAAAAGUGGAAAAGGGACUAAUCAUGCCCUUCAAAAAGCUUAGGAACUAAUUUAUAAUUGGCCUCGAAAAUCCUUAGGCCAUGUGCAAGGUCCCUUUCUAUAGAGACAGGAACCAAACAAUAACAGUCAUGUGUGGGCAAGGCUAAGACCCAUGCGCACUCAUGGGUCUAAUUUGCGACAGACAGGCCUAUUUAUUUUUUAAGCCUGGCUCUUUAUGGUAACAACUCGUAGCCACUAUUUAACUUAACUUCUUGAGGGAAAGAAUGGACCACACCAUAAUAUAUCAUAAAGAACACAUCUACCAAGAGAUUCAAGGCAAUUAACACGAGGAAUUAGAUAUUCAAGGCUCAGAUUUAAGAUCGAAAAAACCAAGAAAUUGAUUUUUCAUCAAACUUAUAUUGUUCUUUAUUCCUAGUGAUGUCUUUUCAUAAACCUUUGUGUAAGUUAUAUAAAAGUAUGCUAGGCUAAACUCUUUAUUGUAUUGGAUGAAGACGAAACAAUUGGUUGUUUAUCUUUAAUUCAAAGACAAGUAGUUUAACUUGUUUUUGUGUUCUUGAUUAAUCUUGCAUGAAUAAUUUAUUAUUUGAUUGCUUGAUCACUAAUUAAAUAAUUAGUUAUUAGUUAUAGUUUUGAGAGACUCACAAUAAAUUUAGAACACGACAAGGUUAAUAAAAGGAUAAAAGAUGUUAGUAUUAACAUGUAUGACAUGUGAAAUCAUUUAAAUAAUCAUGUAUUUAAUGCAUUACUUUACAUAUGAAUCCAAAGUAGGAAUAUGAUUUGGUCGUACUUAAAUAGGUUUAACUUCCUCUAAAAGAGAUAGUUGAAUAACAUUGGAUUAUGAUUGUCAUAAAUAUAUAAAUAACAUUAAACUACAUAAGUGGAGAAUUGAAAAUAAAAAUCAAUUGGUGGAUUCAUAAAAUUCAUUCCAUAAUUAGUAGACUUGAAGAGGUCCUAAAGGAGUUCAAGUUGCAAUUAGGUUCUAUUUGCGUUUUUGGCAUUUUUGACUCCUAUUUCAUUCCAAAUAUUCUAUUAUUAAUUUUAUCCAUUAUAUUGGGUCUUAACCUUAUAUUAAACUUUUUAUUGUAUUAUAUUCAUAGUACGUUAGGGAUUUUAGUAUUAUAUGUAUGUGACGUACAACACAUGUUAAAUCAAUCCUUACAUUCUGCAUAAUAACUUGUAAUCUUCCAUUAUUUAUAUUAAUAAAAUUCUCAUCUUCUUACCCGUUGUAUAUUUUAUCAUGAGAAUCUUGUGUUAUUGUUUUAGCUAAUUCUCCAAUUAUCAUAUUAUUAUACUCGUUUAAAAUCGUAACAAGUGGUAUCAGAGUGAUACACAAUUCUCGUUAUUUGCAAAAGGGAUAGGAGGAGCAAUUGUAGCAUUCGCCUGCUUUGAGCUCUGCUAUAUGGAUGUUAUGUUUCAAUUGUGUAGGCUAUUCUUUAGGCAAAAGAAUUAUUAUAAAAGAAUUGUAAAAGUCAAAGAGUCUGUUGAGAUGUUAUAUAAAUGAAUUAGGAGUCUUUGGGUUUGACUUUGGAAUAUGAAGAAAGAGUCGGUGGAAUUGCGCUAGCCUGUCACUAAGCUGAUGCUCGAGCGUCCAAAACAGAAUCAUCAUCACCCACCUGUCGACUGACUGUCACUUGCCUGGUGUUAGCCUGCUCUCGAGUGACGGUAUUACAUGUGAAACCCUAGUUCGAAUUUUUCAAGAGUUUUAUUCGGUAUAUACUACCUAAUUAGCUCCUACUAUAAAUACCCAAACCCUAACACGUUUUGUAUGUGGUUGUUCAUUAUAUUACUUUUCCAUAACAUCAUUCCAUGAUCUAAGAACACAUUCAAGCAUUGAGAUUAAUCAUUUGAUUCUUGAAAUCAUUCAACCACGACUUUGGGAAAAUAUCAAAUUCAUGUAAUUCAAUACACCAACUUCCUAUAUACAUACAAGAAUGUAUUUUUUUUAAUAGAUUGCUGAAAAUUGAGAAAGGUUGGACUAGAAGAAUAGGAAGAGUACAAGAAUAAGGUGUUGUUGAUGAUCCACAUGAGAUAGAUGAUUCUAGAAGAUCGAGAACAGUCAUGAAUAAAAUACAUUCGAGCGAGUCUUGAAGAUUGUAGGAAUUAGAUCAGUGAGUCUAGUAGAUUUUCUAGGCUAGAUAUAUUGUCUAUAGUGGAGUUACUGGCUUGGUUUUGGAUUUUUUACCCAGGUGGGUUUUUUCUGUCAACAUAUUUUGUGUUGUUUAUUGUUUUCAUGUAAUUGAUUGUGACAAUCAAAUAAUUGAUUGUGACAUUCAAACCAUAAGAUAAUAUGACGUGAUUGAUUAACCAUUUAGAAACAAUUAAAAAGUGAUUUGUUGCUUUUAAUUUUAAAUUCCGCACGUUGGGUUAAAAUAAAUUGGCUAAAUCUAAACUUUCAAGUAGUUUAAGAGCUUUUUAAGUGGUAUCAAAUCUUUUCAAUAGACAUGGCCAUAUAGGCCUUAUCUGAAAGCCCAAGAACAGCUAAUCAAGAGGAGAUGAAUUGGUUAUCUAAAACCUUUUUCAAAAUAAAUGCAAUUUUAACCAAUUAACAAAUAAGAUAAUAAGCAAUCAAGAUAACAUGAAAAUAACAAGAGAAAGGGAAAAGAAGGUGCAAACGAUAUGUUGUGAAGAUUCGAUUCAAUCAAUGAUAUACGUCCUCCAUUACCAAGCUCAUUGUCACGAGCAAUGCCUUCACUAUAUUUGUUUGAUUUACGAUGCAAUCCAGCCCUUACAACACUUCCGGUGACUUACAACCAAGGAACACUAAUCCUUUUAAAAUGUUGAGCUUUUUGAGACCUCAAUACGACCCACAAUUUAAAAACAAGAAAAACAAAAUUACAAGUGAAAGCUUCAAUCUUAAUAAAUGAUAUGAACACAAUUAAGUAUCAAUAGAGAAGUAGAUAAAGCACUUUAAUACAUUGCAAAGAAUAUAGCUCAAGUAUUGGUUGAAAAACUUUAAUUGAGAUAAAUGAUUUUUGCAAGUUUUGAUCACUCAAUUUUUUUUUCAAGAAUUAAAUGUUUUGGUCUUUUAAAGAUUGAAAACUAAGGUAUAAAAGAUCAAUAAAUGCCUCACUUAAAUGCUCUAAAAUUGGUAUGUCAAUGUGCAAGAAGAGUUGGUUCCAUCCGGACGUCCGGAUGGGCAGAUUUGCCCUCCAAACGUUUUUCCUUCAUGAUGACUUUUAUCUAUAUAGUUAUUUCUCAUAUAUUUUGUAUAGAUAAGUAUUUUUGUAAAUAUAUAAUCCUUAAAAUAGAAAAUGAAGUAGAAGCAAUAAAUUAAGGCUUCGGAGAUGGUGGUUGAGGCAGGAAGCGAGCAUAAAAAUAUGCAAAGAAAGUAGCUUGUUGUGCCUGCAUCUCAGCCUGCCAUUGUUGCAUCUCGACCUAUCAGUCCUAAAUAGUAGUUUGCUAUGCUUGAAUUUGAAGAAGUAGGCUGCCCAAGUUGUCGACGGAUGAGGUGAGCGAAUCGAUGUGCCCAUAGAUGAGAUUAUUUUGCUCUUUGGUGAAUGUGAAAUGACCUCAGAAUGGACGGGAUGCACUGGAGCGGAAAAUGUCAGAAACGAGAGUAGGAGCUUCAGGCUUGUCUUCAAUCUCAUCUUCAACUUCUUCUUUGAAAGCAAGAGUUGAGAGACCGAAGGUAGGGUCAAAUCCUUUCAUGUGUGCUAACCACUAACCAUGGUCUUUUGUGAUUUUCACGCAUUUCAGUGUUUGGAUAUUUUUGGUUUCGGUAGGUCGAAUUGAGACAAAAAUCUCAUCGUCCAAGGAAACAUCAAAGUGCUUAAAAUUUUGGUAAGAAGCAUCUUGUAUGGCAAAGCUUUGACAUAUCAUGAUGAAUGGACCAAUUUCAUGAGAUCUAAUGCAAUAGUAGGAAAAUAUAAUUUUCUACCGACAAGAAAUGAGUCGAGAAUAAAUAGAUCAAAUGUGUUAACUUCAUCACGGUGCCCUUUUCUAGGUAGAAUGACAUGAGCUAUGAUUUUGUGUAGUACCUUGCAUGGAAGAUACAAUUGAUUUGUACUAAUAUUUGUUAUAUUUUCAAAAUCCUUUUCGGUAACUCGACGACAAGCUUCGGUAGGUUAUAACCUUCGAAAGAGGGAUGUGCUUUGUGAAGAAAAAUUUGUGUUUCACAUGGUUCAAGGUUUAAAAUGUCACGAAUUAGUGUUUUGGUGAUGACAAUGUGCUUAUUUUUAAGUAAACAUGAAAUGCUAUCCGAACAAAGAUUUAUAACCAUGUUUUUAUGAAAAUCCUUCAUGAGUCGUGGAUAUGCAUGUUUUCCUAAUGCUGCAAUCGAGACUCAACCCAUAUUUUCAAAAAAUUCUUCUAUAUGAAAUGUGGGAGCUUCAAUGUUAAAAUCAGAAAAAUCGACAUUUUUACUGAUUAAAAUUGGGGAUUUUUCAAAAGGAUUGACCGGUACCUUGGGCUCUAAGUCCAUAUCUUCGUCGAAAGAAGGUAGUGGAGAUUGUCUAAUAGUUUGUUUCACAUGUUUCCCGACAUGUUUGCUAUGUUGAGACCCCGACAUUUUCAAAUUUGGUGAAGUUUUGAAAAGUGGAGAUUAGGGCUCGGUUUAUAGGAGAAAAGGAGGGAUUUUUAAGGAAAAUGUUGAAAUUUUUUGAUUUUGAGAAGUCCAAUCUUAUGUGUGUUUGGAUUAGAUGAAAAGAUUGAAGUUUUUACAGGGAUUAGAGUGAUUUUGAGUGAUUUCAGGGAGAAAUAUGUGAGUGAAAAUGAAAUGAAUGAAGCCACCGUUCGCGUUUUUAAGACUGAAAAGACGUAGAUCCGGACGUUCAGAUUGACAGAGCUUGAGUUUUCUGUCAAACUGGAUAGCUCUUGUCUGGAUUGUCCGAACAAUGUAUAAUUCGUCUGGAUCCGCCAUUUCUUUUUAAAGUAUGGUUAUAAAAUGAGUUUAUCAAAAUUUGCAUAUAACAAUUUUCAUGAUCACAGAAAUUAAACUAAUUCCACUUCAUCUUCAUCAAGAAUUCCUAAACAUCUUCGAAUAUAUGAAAAAUGAUCGUGUGCUAGAGGUUUGGUGAAGAUAUUGGCUAAUUGAUACUCGAUUUUAUAAAUUCCAACAUGAUAUCUCCCUUUGGUGUAUGGUCACAAAGAAAGUGGUGUCGAAUUUCAAAAUGCUUAGUUCGUGAAUGCAAGAGAGGGGAACUUUUAGACAAGUUGAUGGCACUAGUGUUAUCACACAAAACAGGCUCAUGAUCAUUGGAUAAGAGAUAAUCACAAAGAAUUUGUUUCAUCCAAAGUGCUUAUGCACAACAACUUGCGGCCGAAAUGUAUUCCGCCUCAACGAUGGAUAGUGUACCAGAAUUUUGCUUCUUGCUAGAUCAGGACACAAGUGCAAAGCCUAGAAAGUGAUCAUUCUUGCCAGUACUUUUACAAUCUACGUUACAUCCAGCCCAAUCAGCAUCCAAAUAACUAAUUAGGUCAAUGUGAGUACCUCUUGGAUACCAAAGUCCAAGGUUCUAGUUCCACUAAGAUAUCGAAUUUUUUUAUGGCACAUAAAUGUGAUUUAUUAAGAUUAGAUUGAAAUCUAGCACAUAAGCAUACACUAAACAUAAUAUCAGGCCUAUUAGCAGUCAAAUAAAGAAGGGAUCCGAUCAUGCCUCGAUAUUUUGUGACAUCAACCAGAACGCCAUGCUCAUCUUUGUCAAGCUUUAAGGAUGUACUUAUAGGUGUGUUCAUAGGCUUAAGGUCAUACAUAUCAAAUCUUUUGAGCAUGUCUAAAAUGUACUUAUUUUGGUUUAAGAAAAUUUCGUCUUUGUUUGUUUAAUUUGAAGAUCAAAGAAGAAUUUUAAUUCUCCCUUCAUGCCCAUUUCAAAUUGUCAAAUUCUUUGCUCAUACAAUUUGAAAUUUUUUCACAACGACGAAUAUUUGUAGCACUAUAAAUAAUGUUGUCAACAUAAAUUUGGACAAUAAGCAUAUUCUCCUUAUGAAUUUUUAUAAAAAUUUUAGUAUCCACUUUUCCAAUUGAAAAACCAUUUGAAAGAAUAAAUUUGCUCAAAUGUUGUACCAAACUCUUGGAGGUUGUUUCAAACCGUAAAGAGCUUUUCUAAGUUUAUAUACAUAAUCUGGAUACUUGUGAUCUUUAGAAUUAGGAGGUUGCUUAACAAAAACUUCUUCUUGAAUAAAUCCAUUCAAAAAUGUACUUUUAACAUCCAUUUGAUAAAGUGUAAAACCUUUAUAACAUGCACAUGCAAAAAGCAUGUGAAUGGAUUCUAGUAUAGCUAUAGGCGCAAAUGUUUCUUUAAAAUCGAUAUCUUCUUCUUGAUUGUAACCUUGUGCCACUAAUCUAGCCUUGUUGUACAAUUAUUCCAUUUUCAUCUCUUUUGUUUCUAAAAACCCAUUUAGUUCCAAUAAUGGUUUGAUUGUUUGGUUUGGCGACUAAGUUCCAAACAUGAUUUCUUUCCAAUUGAUUUAAUUCUUCUUGUAUCACUAGGAUCCAAAACUUAUCAAACUCGGCUUCUUUGAAAUUUUUAGGUUCGAUUUGAGAUAUAAAUGCAUAACUACUGAGAUGAUUUUAUAAGAAGUUCUAGUAGUGACACCUUUCGAUGGAUCACCUAUGAUAAGCUCCUUAGGAUGAGAUGGAACAAACCUCCAUUCUUUUGGUAAUGGGGGAUCACUUUGUGCCUCGAUUUGUUUUUCUUCAUUCUCUUGAGCAUUUGAUUCCUCAUUUCGUUCUUUAUUAGUUACCUCUUUGUUUUGGUCUUGAAUCUUCAUUUGUGCAAAUGGAGCGUUCAAACCUACAUCAUCAUCAUUACCUUUCUCUCAAUCAAAAGAGUUAGUUUCAUCAAAAGUAACAUGGAUGAAUUCUUCAACUACUAGAGUUUGUUUGUUAAAAACUCUAUAUGCAUUGCUAGUCGAUAAAUAUCCUAGGAAAAUUCCUACAUCGGAUUUUAAAUCAAAUUUUCUCAAAUUAUCUUUUGUAUUCAAAAUAAAACAUUUACAUCCAAAAACUUUGAAAUAACUAAUAUUUGGAAUUCUAUUCUAACAAAGUUCAUAAGGAGUUUUAGUUUUCUUUUUGCUACUAAAACUCUAUUGAUAAUAUAGUAAGCAGGGUUUACGGCUUCGACCCAAAGAUAUUUUGGUAAAUUGUUUUCAUUCAACAUGGUCUUAGCCAUUUCUUGCAAUGAACGAUUCUUCCUCUCUACCACACCAUUUUGUUGAAUAGUUCUAGGAGCCAAAAAAUUAUUUUCAUAUCCAUGUUCAUUAUAAAAGUCAUGAAAACCACCAUUAUCAAAUUCUCCACUGUGAUCACUUCUGAUAGUUGUAAUAGAAUAACAUUUUUCAUUUUCAACUUUCUUACAAAAAUAUUUAAAUGCUUUUAAGGCUUCUUAUUUCAAACUUAAAAAUAUAACCCAAGUAAAUCUUGAAAAAUCACCGAGGCAAUAUGUUUACCUCCUAAGCUAGCCGUUCUAAAAGGUCCAAAAAGAUCCAUGUAGAGAAGUUAUAAUGAUUUUGUAGUUGAAGCAUAAUGUUUAGGCUUGAAGGAAGUUUUCAAAUGUUUUCUAAAUUGACAUGCAUUACAAAUUUUUUCUUUUUCAAAUUUCAAAUUUCAUAAACCUUUUAGAAAACAAAUUUUGGAGAUUUUGGAAAGAAAAUCCAUGCUAACAUGCCCUAAUCCUCUAUGUCAUAGCCAUGAUUCUUCUUUCACGCUAAGUAAACAAUUUUCAUCAUUUUCAAAUUCAAUGAUUAUGAAAGAAACAUCUUUACUUUGGCUUCUUACGAAAAUCUAAGAAUUAAAUUUUAUAUUGUAGCCUUUAUCACAUAAUUGACUAAUAUUUAACACAUUAUGUUUAAGGUUAUCAACAAGUAAAACAUUUUCAAUCGAGGGGAUUAGUGAUUACCUAUGUUUCCAAUUAAGAUAAUUUUACCGUUGGCACUAUCUCUGAAAGUUUCGUGGCCUCCAUUUUUCUCUUUGAAGUUCGAUAGCAAGGAUCUAUCUCCGAUCAUAUGCUUCGAACAAUCACUGUCCAAGAACCGUUUGCUUCUUGUUUUCUUUGGAGCCUACAAGAAUAAUUCAAGUUUUGAUUUUUGGUACUCAUGUAUACUUGGGUCCUUGGUAGUUAGUUUUGAUGGAUUCUCGAAUCCACUUAUACUUGUUUUCAAAAUAUAGCUCCUUUUUAGCUAGGCAAUUAGAGGUUACAUGUCUACUUUUGUUACAAAGACUACUAGUAGUAUUUGAAGCUUUAACAAAUAUAUUUUUGUGGGAUUUUUGUUUUAAAGAGAGUUUAUAUCCAAUUCUCCAUUUAUAGAAAACGCAUUUUUGACUACCGAGCAUUAAAUCAAAAUCGUUCUUACCCUCAGUGAAUUUCUGAAUAAUUUUCGUAUAGUCAUCCAUUUUUCUUUUAAUGCAAUGUUGUCCUUACUACAUAAUUAUGAUUAACAUUUUCUUUUUGCUUUUCCACAAUUUUCUUUAUUUCUUCUUUUAACAAAGAAUUUUUCUUUUUAAGAAUAGCAUGACUCAAGGCACGUUUUUCAAAAUUUUUAAGUAUUUCAUCAUAUAAUUUGAAACCUCAUCAUAAAAACAUUUUUCAUUAAACAUACCUCGUCUUCGAUUGCCAUGAAGCACAUAUUUACCACUUUGUCUUGACUAUCGUUCCAAUUUUGUUCUUUAUCAUCGCUAUCAUCCCAUGUGACUUAAGUGCCUUUUUUCUUGAAAUUUCUCUUUUCGUUUGGGCACUCGGUUCUCUUGUGGCCCGAUUUAUUACAAUCAUAGCAAAUAAUUUUUUUGCUUUCUAUCUUCGCCCUUUUCCUCCUUUUUUUGAAAUAUUCAAUUAUUACGAAGACCUCUCCAUUUCUUUUCAUACAGUUUCUCCGGGGUGUAUUCUAAGGUUGGGAGUUUAAACAAUUCUAAUCCUUACCCUCUCUUAGUUUGGAUAGAGUUUGCCAUUACAAGUUCACAUAUCAACAAGUAGAGACUCUCCUUAUUUUGAUUGCUUCAACCCUUAGGAUUAAACUAAGCUACUUGCUUCGCAUUUAGGUUAUAGUUCUAUCAACCAAAUGUCCAACGAGGGCUUUUAUUUAUUUAUUUUUUUUUUGUGUCAUCUUCUCAUUUGCUUUCUAUAUAACCCAUGUAACGAGCUUUAGGCGAUGACUCCCAAACCAGUUGGCUUUAGGGCACCGGGUUUUAAACCCUUGCAGUCUUAUUCACUCGACUUAUAAAGGCUCGAUAGGAUGACUUUUUAUCAACUCUCCUUUUUUAUUGUUUUCUAUAUGACCCAUGUAACGAACUUUAGGCCGAUGACUCCCAAACCAGUUGGUAUUAGGGCAUCAGGUCUUAAACCCUUACAGACUUACUUGCUCGAGUCAUAAAGGCUUUUUGAGAGAAGUGAUAAAUUUCCACUUUUUACUUUAUGCCCCUUCUUUGUUUUUCUAGACAUUUGACUUCUAAAAUCAUCCUCACUUAAAGCUUUCACCUAUUUUUCACCUUCCGGGUUUAAACAAUCCACACAUUAUAAUUUCAUGCAUGGAGCCCCCACUUAUCUCCAUGUUUUCCUACAAUAGUUCAAUCAUCUCCAGACUAUCUUAAAGUGAUAUUACGGGUUAAUGUUAUAGAGGGUUAUUCUAGGUUUCUCCUAAUUUAUUCUAAAAAUUCCAAUCAAUAACUUAACACGUGACAUGAGUGGCGUGCAAAAGAGUGUCAAGCAAUGCAUCAACAAGUAUUAGCAAAUUAAAUCUUGCACUAAAUCCACAGUUUCUAGCUUAUACAUAUCCAAUAAUCACAUCAUAGCCGGCAAGGCUACCAAACCCACACAAGCAUGCAAACGUUCAUAAAGAUUCACUCAUCAAGCAUGCAUCAUGCAAAAACCUGUCAAACUUAAUGAUGGAUUGUGAAUAUGCAAAAUAAUUACAUGCCGAAUAUUUGUUUGAAAUUAUGCUACCAUCCCCCAAACUUAUACAAUACAUUGUCCUCAAUGUAAAAUGUAAAGUUAAAAUGACAGAAUUUAAAAUAUGGACACAACUUGGCAAUAAGAGAUUAAUAAAACUCCCCUGAUCAAUGCGGUGGCUGUGGUAUGAAGCUGGGACCCGCAGCAUCAUCUUCAGGAGGAGGCGGGAGGCAAGAUAGGACUUGUCUCAGCAACUCGGACUACUGUGCUUGCUCGGCCUGAAUGGCUUGAAGACUACUUUCCAUAUUUCCCAAGUGAUCCCAAGUCUCGUUCACAUGCCACUGUAUGUCAUCCAUUCUCCCAGCGUACAUGUUCAACCUACCAUUCAUAGUCUCUACUUCCCUUCUCGCAGCUGUGGCUUCAUUCAAAGCACCUCUUGUGUAGUCUCGAGAGGAGUAGAGGUCUCUCUGCACUUUUUCAACAGUGGUGGUCAUUGUCUCGAACCUCUGCUGGAGGUUUUGUAUGUCUCUGCUUGUUCCAGUGGCUGUGGCAAAUAUCUGUCGAAGUAGCUACGAAUCCAUCUCAACUGGUUGUGGCGGGGCUUGUGGUAAGUGUAAAUCUUCAGCAGCUUGUCCUUCUUCCUGCGCAUUUUGUCUUUGCUGCUCAAGUCUUUCUUGUUCUCUCUUCCUUACCCUAACUUGUUCCUGAGCUUCAAAUGUGGUGAGCUUUAUCAAUGGGCUUGAUUUCUCAGGCAUCUCCCCUGCCUCAAUUGUAACACCAACAUCAAGACAUAUCCCACUACUCAGACUAGGGAAAAUCAUCGAAGACCGCCUAUCUCCCCAGGUUCCCAAAUUUUGUAUCUGGUUAAAAAUAAGAGUAGCCAAAUCAACUUUGCAUCCCCGAACUAGAUGAUAUAUGAACCCAGCAGUUUGAUUCGUGAAAGUUGUCCGAUGUGAUGUGGGUUCGAUGUUAUGGCACAUGAAGACCCAAAUGAUGGCUAUGGAGGGAGUAAGCUCAAUUUGAUGCCACUCUGCAGGGGGUAUGGGCCAAGCAUUUUCUCUUCCCAAGAGAAUCUCCUCCACUUCAUUCCAAUUGAAUUAAGUGGGAAUUGGGACCACAUUGUCCAAAUUAAGAUUGUAGAAGUCAUGAAUGACGGCUGGGGAGAACAUUAUCCACUUACCUCGCACCCAUGUCUGGUGUAAGUGUUCAGAACCCGGAGUCUCAAUUUCACUAUUGAAGUUUGCAUAAAAUUCACGGACUAAACUUUCAUAAACCGGGUGUAGCUUUUCUACAAUCUUCUCCCAUCCACAAUUUUGUAUCAGAUUUGGCAACUCAAAACCACGGAAAUCAUCUAACCGGACCUGUCUCUCUGAUAUCAUGCCCCAAUGGCGUAUUAUGUUCUCAUAUCGAGCUAAUGUUUCGGCAUCACGGAAUCUUCGCACACCUCCUAUUAGCUCUCUGGUGCGGGCUGUGCCGGAGGAGGAACCGACUUUUUCUUUACCUUUUGAUGUUCUCUUCGACGGCAUCCUACACAAAUAAGGAACGAAGUGUAUCAAGAUCGUGAAAUAAGGAAACGAUGAAGAAUAUCAAUGUCAAGCACAAAUCCCCCAAACUUUCUUCAAAAUAUGUGCAAUAUUCAACGCAUGGAAUUCAAUGUAACAUCAAUAUUGAAUUAAUGAGAAAAACUCAAAAUUAUGGCUCUAACAUGCAUUUUUUUGAAAAUUCGACCCAUGAUCAAGUGACCAACUUCAGCCCCGAGCAUCAUCGAGAAAUAUUAAAAUUUCCCCAAACAAGGUCCUGGCAUAUGAAAGUACUCAUUUUGGCCUAGCAUGUACCCAAAUUUCACUACAAUCGGAGGUCGUUUGGUUAGGAAAACACAUGGACGAAUUUAGUGACGAGGGUUGACAUGACUUAGCAAUUUAUGUGGUUUUGUGCACAUAUAUGUGAGGCUAACGUUUUCCAAUUAAAUUCCAAGAUAUUUCUCGACUAGUAUGCCUCACAUUAACAGUGUAAAUCAUCACACAAAUGAAAAGUUCAAAAUUUAGAAUCAUAUGUCUCUUUGACAUUUAAUCGAACACGUUGUGUGCAUUGGAAAUUUCCUUCACUUUGUUUUUGAUUUACACUUAGGGCUAGUCCACAAUUCACAAUUCAAUCACAAUUCAACAUUUUACCCAAUUCGAAAAUGGCAAUAACAUCAAAGAAUAGCUUCAUACUUUGCAUAGAAAGUAAAUUUCGUACCUUGAGAUCUUUGUGAAAGGAAAGUGGAACCUUUACUCCAAAAUUCUUGAGAAUUUAUACCAAUGAUGUGAGUAGUGUAGUAUGGUGUCGGGAUUAGAUAAGUGUGUUGUGAUUUAUGUUAUGUGUGAAGGUGGAAUUUGGGAUGAGAAAUUCGUGUGCUGAUUGAUAUUGGGGGAAAUGGGUUGGUUUAGCAAGUGACGGGUUUAAAACCCGUCACUUUUACUCCAUGUGGCCGCAUGGUGUUACACCAUGCGACCGCAUGGUGUAAUUGGUCUUCCCCCACUUAACUUCGGUUAGGGUCCAUGCGGCCGCAUGGACAAAAUCCAAAAUUUUUUAUUUUUUUUAUAUUAAAAACAAACUUAUAAUUUUAACCCCCAACACACCAUAAAUUUUAAAAAAUUUCCCUACAUUGGUUUUCAAAUUCAAAAUUGACUCGACUCUACAUAUUUCAAUUUUUUUUUUUUUUUGAAAAAAACAUCUCGAAAAAUAAAACGAAUGACUUUGAACCCUGAAAUUCUUUACUUCACACUCAAACACCCAAAACAUUUUCUUUAACCCCGACUCAUGCAACUAUAAACGUGUAGUGCCUAGACUAUCAUGCGUGAAUGAUCGAUGACCUAAUAAAACAUACGAAAUGUAAACAAAUUCCAAAAUAAAUGCAAGAAUAUAAAUUGAAGGAUACAGUGGGUUGCCUCCCACCCAGCGCUAGUUUAUAGUCGAUAGCUCGACUUUCCUGCAUCUUCUUCAUAUUGGGUUGUUGAGUUGCAAAGUGGACUUCUGCUUAGGGAAAUUACAGCCCCAAUAGUGUUUCAAUCUUUGCCCAUUGACGAUGAAAGUACCUUUGGUCUCGUGACUCACUUCAAUAGCCCCGUAUUGCAUUACCUUAGUUAUGAUAUAGGGACCCGACCACCUUGUUCUUAGCUUUCCUGGGAAGAGUUUGAGUCUAGAAUUGUACAAUAAUACUUUCUGCCCAACUUCAAACUCUCGCCUCUGAAUAUUUAAAUCAUGCCAUCUCUUGGUGCGCUCUUUGAUCAACUUUGAGUUCUCGUAAGCUUCCAUUCUCAUCUCAUCCAAUUCAUUAAGUUGCAGCAGUCGUUUUUCACCAGCAGCCUUGAGAUCCAUAUUCAACUGUUUCAUAGCCCAAUAUGCUCGAUGCUCCAACUCCAAUGGUAGAUGACAAGCUUUCCCAAAAAUCAGGCGGUAUGGAGACAUUCCUAUUGGUGUCUUAAAUGCUAUUUUGUAAGCCCACAGUGCAUCGUCAAGCUUCUUAGACCAAUCUUUUCGGGAUGAGUUCACUGUAACUUCCAGUAUUCUCUUUAACUGCCUGUUCGAAACUUCAACUUGCCCAUUGGUCUGUGGAUGAUAUGGAGUUGCUACUUCAUGUUUCACCCCAUAUUUGUUCAACUGCUGCUCUAAUUGACGAUUUAUGAAGUGUUUGCCCCCAUCACUUAUUAUUGCCCUUGGUGUACCAUAUCUUGUAAAUAUGUACUUCUCAAGAACUCUAUCACCACUUUCGCGUCGUUAGUAGGCAAUGCAAUAGCUUCCACCCACUUAGAGACAUAGUCAAUGGCCAUCAAGAUAUAUUGAUUUGAGUACGACGGGGGAAAAGGUCCCAUGAAGUCUAUUCCCCAUACAUCAAAUAUUUCAACCUCCAAGAUGUAAUUUAGUGGCAUCUCAUUUCUUAUUGAGAUAUUUCCGGUUUGUUGAUAUUUAUCGCAUCUCUUCACAUACUCGAAUGUGUCUCUGAAUAAAGUAGGCCAGUAGAAACCCGACUGUAGUAUCUUUGCAGCAGUCUUUGAAGCUCCAAAAUGCCCAGCAUAUGCAGAAGAGUGACAAUGUUCUAGAAUCUUAGGUACUUCAUCUUCAAGAAUACAUCUUCUGAUUAUCUGAUCUGCGCCUCUUCUGUAGAGAAUGGGAUUCUCCCAAAAGUAAUACUUCAGCUCUGUGAAGAACUUCUUUCUUUGAUGGCAAGAAUAGUCUGGUGGUGGGAUGGACUUAGCAAGGUAGUUAACGAUAUCAGCGUACCAUGGGAUUAUUUCUACCCCAAAAAUUUGCUCAUCUGGAAAGAUUUCAUUGAUGUCAACUGACAUCUCAGGUUCAUCCCGUUCCAAUCUUGAUAGGUGGUCGGCUACCACAUUUUCACUGCCCUUCUUAUCCUUGAUCUCAAUAUCGAACUCUUGCAACAACAAUAUCCAACGGAUCAAUCUCGGCUUAGCAUCCUUCUUUGUCAUAAGAUACUUCAGAGCGGCAUGAUCUGCGUAGACGAUAACCUUAGACCCAACAAGAUACGAUCUGAACUUGUCGAAUGCAUAAAGCACAGCUAGCAAUUCCUUCUUGAUCGUAGCAUAGUUGAUUUGGGCGUCGUUCAAAGUUCUACUUGCAUAGUAUAUCACAUGAAAGAUUUUAUUCUUUCUUUGUCCCAAUACCGCACCAACUACAUGAUCACUCGCAUCGCACAUUAGCUCAAAGGGCAAAUCCCAAUCAGGUGACACAAUCACAGGCGUUGUUGUGAGUUUUUCCUUCAAAGUAUUGAACGCUAUCAAACAUUCCUCAUCAAACUCAAAAGAUACCUCUUUCAUUAGCAAGUUGGACAGAGGCUUUGUGAUUUUGGAGAAGUCCUUUAUAAUCCUCCUGUAAAACCCUACAUGCCCAAGGAAACUUCGAACUCCUUUUACUGAUAUAGGUGGUGGUAAUUUCUCAAUUACCUGAAUUUUCACCUUAUCCACUUCUAUCCCGUUUGCCGAUACUCUAUGUCCCAAGACUAUUCCCUCUUGAACCAUGAAAUGACAUUUCUCCUAGUUCAAUACUAAGUUCGUUUCUCUGCAUCUUUGCAAAACCAAAUUUAAGUGAUCCAAGCACUCAUCAAAUGAGGUCCCAAAGACCGAGAAGUCAUCCAUGAAGGUUUCAAUGAAUUUCUCUACCAUAUCUGAGAAAAUUGCCAUCAUGCAUCGCUGAAAUGUGGCAGGAGCGUUGCAAAGUCCAAAUGGCAUUCUUCGAUAUGCAAAGGUACCAUAGGGGCAUGUGAAGGUGGUCUUCUCUUGAUCAUCCGGUGCCACUGGUAUCUGAUUAUAACCCGAAUACCCAUCCAGAAAGCAGUAGUGGGAAUGGCCUGCCAAUCUCUCCAACAUCUGAUCUAUAAACGGAAGAGAGAAAUGAUCUUUCCUUGUAGCAGUAUUUAGUUUGCGGUAAUCAAUGCAAACUUUCCACCCUGUUACCAUCCUUGUUAGAAUCAACUCAUUCUUUUCAUUCUGAACCACAGUAAUUCCUCCUUUCUUGGGCACAACUUGCACUGGACUAGUCCAUUUACUAUCUGAUAUCAGGUAGAUUAUUCCAGCAUCCAGAAGUUUGAUCACCUCAGCUCUUACUACCUCCUUCAUGUUUGGGUUUAGCCUUCUUUGACUUUCAACUGUUGGUCGAAAAUUCUCCUCCAUGAGAAUUUUAUGCAUACAUAAUGAAGGGCUGAUCCCUUUGAUAUCAGCUAUGGUCCAUCCAAUUGCUUGCUUGUUAUCUCGAAGCACCCUAAGCAAUUUUUCCUCCUCCACUUCACUAACCAUGUUUGAAAUUAUCACUGGAAGUGUAUUGGACUCCCCCAAAUAUGCAUAUCUUAAGUGUGGGGGCAGCUGCUUAAGGUCCAACUUUGGUGGUUUCAGAAUAGAUGGCUGUGAUUUCUCUGGCCCUAUCCCAAGCUCCUCAAAGUAUCAUUUUGUAAGGUGGCUUGGACUCCAAAAAUCUUGCACACAUUUCUAUGUCUUCAGAAUCAGAAUUCAUGGAUUUAGAAUGUGCAAUGCAGGCCUCCAAUACAUCUGAUGGGUUUUGCAGUGUAAAUGACUCUUCAAUCAUUUUAUCAAUCAUGUCAACCCUGAAACAUCUGUCAGUCUCUAUUGGCAGUUUCAUGGCCUUGAAGACAUUGAAUGAAACCUGUUCUUCUCCCAAUCUCAAUAUCAACUGCCCAUUCUGAACAUCGAUCAAAGCUCUGUCUGUAGCUAAGAAUGGUCUGCCCAUUAUUAAAGGAACAUAUUUAUCUUCUACCAUAUCCAGAAUCAGAAAGUCUGCUAGGAAUGUGAACUUCUCCACUUUAACCAACACGUCUUCAAUUACUCCUCAUGGAUGUGUUAAUGAUCUGUCAGCCAGCUGUAAGGUCACCGUGGUAGCUUUAGCUUCUCCCAAUCCUAAUUUCCUGAAAAUAGACAAUGGCAUUAAGUUAAUACUUGCACCAAGAUCACAUAAAGCUUUAUCAAAAUAAAAUUCACCAAUGGUACAAGGGACAGUGAAACUCCCUGGAUCUUUCAAUUUUGACAGGAGCUUUCUCUGAAUCCUGGCACUGCACUCCUAUGUUAGCAUAACUGUCUCGUGAUCUCCUAGCUUCCUUUUGUUUGAUAGGAUGUCUUUCAGGAAUUUUACAUAGCUAGGCAUCUGAACCAGUGCUUCAGCGAAUGAGAUGUUGAUAUGGAGCUUCUUGAAGACCUCGAGAAACUUCUUGUAUAACUGUUCCGUCUUUUGCUUCUUCAGCCUCUGUGGGAACGGUAUGGGUGGCUCAUAGGGGUUCACAGCUACAGUCUCUUUAUCCCUUGAGUUUCCUUUAUUUGCUUUCGGUGUUGACUCUUCUGUCUGUUCUUCUUGCUCCAAAAUCUCUUCUACUUCAGGAGACACCUCUUCUCUGUUUGCCACGGGAUUAUUCACUUGUCUCUCAGGCAAUUCCACUCCACUUCUCGUUGUUAUAGCCUUUGCAUGCUCUUUCGGAUUGAAUUAUGUGUUACUUGGCAGGCUGCCUGGUGCUCUACCUGUUAAUGCAACUGCCAUCUGUCCUAUCUGAGUUUCCAAAUUCUUAAUGGCUGCAUUUUGGUCCUGAAGAAUGGCUUCUGUCUUCUUCAUGAAUUGGUUGUUCGCCUCCAUAUAUUGGUUGGUCUGUUCUAUGAAUUUGCCGAACAUUUCUUCUAAUUGAGGCUUCUUCUAUUGCUGUUGGUAUUGCCCUUGUGGCCUGCUCUGAUUUUGGUUGCUCCAAGAAAAGUUGGGGUGCUUUUUCCAGCUUGGGUUGAAGGUCUCUCCAUACACAUUAUUCUACUGGCGUUGUCCCCAUUGAGCAAAAUCUGUGUGCUCUUUUCCUUGUGUCAAAAUUGGGCAUUCUGCUGUCACAUGCUCAGCUCCACAUUCCUCACAAUUUGCCUUCUUUGUCUGCGUUGCGUUAGCUGACUGGGUAAUAUUUUCCACCUUGUGAAAUAAGGAAUCAAUCUUAGCAGAUAACGCUGAGUAUACAUCCACUUUAUAAACUCCUGGUGUCUUCUUUGGUACUGCUCGUUCCAUGGUCCACAUUGUUGAGGUUGUAGCCAUUGUCUCAUAUAACUUCAAUGCUUCAUCAAUUAUUUUUGUGGACAAUGACCCAUUAGCUGAAGAGUCGACCAUGCUCUUGAAAGCUGGAAGUAGCCCUGCAUAAAAAUAUUGGACCUGAAGUCCCUUGCUAAUCCCGUGGUGCGGACACUUCCUUAGUAGAUUUUUGAAUUUGUUCCAAGCCUCAUCAAAAUUUUCAGAUUCACCUUGCCUGAAGAUAGAUAUGUCAUGCUUUAGCUUUGCAAUCUUGGCCGGUGGGAAGAACUUAGUACAGAACUUCUGAGCUAGGUCAUUCCAAGUAGUAAUGCUGGCUAUCGGCUGAGAAUCAAGCCAUUCAAUCGCCUUGUCCCGCAAAGUAUGUGGAAACAGUCUUAAUCUUAUGGCGUCGUCAGAGAUUCCUUGAUAUCUGAAGUGCUGGCACAUCUCUAAGAAGCGCGAGACAUGCGUGUGCGGGUUCUCUUCCACUCUUCCAUAAAACUGAUGUCCGUUCUAGAACAGUUGUAUUACAUUUGUCUUCAACUGGAAAUUUGGCUGCUCGAACGGUGGAUACACAAUGCUAGACUGGCUUUGAAUGAUUUGAGGGGUCAUGAACUCUCCAUCGAGCAUGUUUCCUUCGUCUUCUUCCCCUCUUUCAUUGGCUUGUACAACAGGAUUGUGUUGUACGUUCUCCAUCUAAUUUCUUGCUGCUCUGUUUUUUCUCUGCCUUCUUCUGAAGCUUCGUUCGAUCUCUGGGUCAGCUGGAAGUAGAUCUCCUUCAGCAGAUCUUGGCAUGCACUUCUGCAAUAGAAUUCAAUUUAAGGAUCUAAGUAACUAAAAUAUGCACUUAUGUAAUAAAACUAACUAACAAUAAAAUAAAAUGAACUAAAAUAAAUUAAAAAUAAAAAGUUCUAAUUAGUGCUAAAUUGAAUAAAAUUAAAUGAAUACUCAAUCCCCGGCAACGGCGCCAAAAACUUGUUCACGAAAUAAUUCUUUCGAUUUAAAACUAUCGCAAGUGUACGAUUCAUAACAAGUAAUAAAGUGGAUUUUAAAAGUCCGAAUAUCGUCCAUCAGAGAUUGAGUAGUUCAAUUCUAUAUAAUCUAGCCUUAACCGAAUCUAAUUGAGUGGAAAUAUGGCCUAAAUGCAAAAAAGCCCUAAUUUCAAUUAAAACCCCUAAUUUCAACUAAACACCCUAAUUUCAAUUGAAAACCCUAGUUUCAAUAAAAAACCCUAAUUUCUCAAUUAGAAACCCUAAUUUCGAAAUUUCUCUAAUUAAACAACUUAAACACUCAAGUAAAUAAAAUUAAGCAAGUUUAAAAGCUAAUUUAUUAAAAUGAAUCAAACUAAAGUCACUAGAAUCAUGAAUCCCCAAUUGAAGUUAUAAAAACCCUAAUUUCAUAAAAUUAAUGAUUCGAUGAAAAUAUGCCAAUCCAAUGUUCCUAAUUCUAUCCAAUAUACUCUCUCGAUAUAUAUUAUAUCUAUUCUUCCACACCACCAGCCUAUAUCUCUUUGAAUGAUGCAAACAUAUAAGAAUGCAUGUAGUUUUGUGAACAAUUUAAGAAUUGCAUAAAGUAUAGGGGCAUAUCUCUAUCCCCUAUCGGACCCUAUGUUAAUUUACACCUUAUCGAACCUAUUCCACUUCUCUCGAAUGUAAGAAAUAAGUCAUCAACACUCACACAAUUAUUGGCCACUAAUUGCGGAAGAAAAUUAAUGCUUGUAAAUCAAUCAAAUUAUCCAAACGAGUCUUUAUAUUAAAUUCAUGAAAUAUAGAAUUAAAAUAACAAACAACGGUUCAUCGAUCAUCUAGUAAUUGAAAACCUAGCCUAGAAGAUUCAUAAUUACAGAAAACAAUACGAAAUUAAUGAAUGAAAGAAUAACACCCGUAUGAAAGUUCUUGAAAUCUGAAAUCUUGAACAAAACCUUGAAAACCCCUUUGAAUCCUUGUGAAAUCCGCUUCAAGUUCGUGUUCCUUGCCUCCAAAAGUUGUAUUCUUCUUUCCCUGGACGUUCUGCCCUAUUUCUGAUGAAUUUUGGCUUUUAUAUCAUGUCCUCACAGAGCCCCGAAAGAGUUUUAAUUAAAAACGGAAGUUCAGAAUUUUUUAUCGAAUUUAAAGCCAUGCGGCCACAUGGUGUUAAACCAUGCGACCGCAUGGUUCAAAUUUUCAGCCCAAAAAGAUCCCUGUUAUAUCAUGUGCGGCCGCAUGGUUAUAGAAAUUUUUCCGUCGGACAAUUUUCAGUAUUUUGGUCAUAACUUUCUCUCCCGAUCUCCGAUUGAAGUGAUUCAAAGUGCAUUGGGAAGAAAACUCAAAGAUGUACAUUUUGAUAGAAAUAGGCUUCCUCAAAUUCUGAUGUUUACUAUGCCAAAAAUGGAUCUCAAGUAGAGACUCAAAAUCACGAGCAUAACUUUUUCGCCUGAAAGUUGAUACUUGAUAAUACUUCGACCAUAUUUCACCUCUUGACUCCUUUCCUCAUCCAAUUGACCUCUAACACUCUUGAAUCUUCAUUCCAUUUCCCGUCUCAUCUAUGGAUUAUUUGCAACUUGGUCCCCGAACUAUCGCUUUGCUCCGUUUUGGUCCUUUUUCGGCUCUUUUCUUCUGAAUUCCAUCUUUCCCAUAGAAACACCUACAUUGCAUGAAUUUAACAAGAUUAAGUCACAAUUUAACUAUUUUGUCCAUGUUUAAGUCAUAUUUGUGAGCUAAAUAAGUGUGUAAAAACACACUUAUCAAUGUACAUAAGGAAAAAUAAUAAAAUUCGCAGCUCAAAUAUUUUGGGCAAAUCUGAACCUUCCCUAUUAGUCCAGACUGACUACCGAAAAAUCUGUAACCUUUUUUUUCAUGAUUUCGACAAAUUAUUUUUCAAUUAUGGCAAUUAAAAAGAAACAAUUAUUUUGAGCAAACAAAUAAAUAAAUUUUGUAAAAAUAUGACGUAUUUUUCAACAAUCUUCCCUUUUGGCUUUGCUUAAUUUUGAAAACCAGUAUUAGAUUUUUCAUGUCAUGUAUCAUGAUUUUGAUCAAUCAAUUCUCAUAGACUAUUCCCUUAGUCAGUUCUCAUCACACACCAAGCUUCCCCCAAACUCAAGCAUCCUAACGCUCAUAUUUUUACUAUCACCACUUCACCAUUAUCACAAAAUCAAAAUCCACUACUCCAUCUUUUUUUAAAUUAACAACACACUUAAUAAAAUGAAUCAAAUAGUUAGGAAGCAAUAGUUAGAUCAAAGAGUUAGAGUCAGAAUGAUAGAACUGAUCAAUUUGUGAACUUCUUAGCCCAUCAUAAGUAGUCCUGUAAUGGCCCGGGUCAGAACUGGGAUAGCCAAUACUCCUUAUGCACUGCCAAAAGGAGCAGGCGGCUUGUUCUAACUAUCUGGCUCAGUUUCGCGUGCUUCAUCAUAUUAUAUCUUCUUUUCUUUGGGGAUUUUGGUCCUUGCCAUUGAUAGCCUUCGAAAAACAACUUGAAAACACAACCCAGAUCAAGAACAAUAAGCAAGAGCAGCUGUAAAACGUAAAGACUUGAAAUCUCAGUUGUAUGGGUUCAAAUAAAUAACUGCUAUACUUUCCAGAAUGAUCCCUUUUUUGUUACUUUCUCAAUUCUAAUCACAAAAUAUGGUGGAACCGACCCUUCAUAUUUGAUCAAGAUGUAGUUUCCACUUUUCAAAAUCUCUUGCGUCAAACUUUUCUCUUUUAGCUGUGAAUACUUAAUUUUAUUGUCGGGUUUUAACUGUUGACCAAAAAAUCUGCGAAAAUCCCAUACAUGUCAAUCUCACAGUAUAAUUAAAAUUCCAAAUUGAAAUUAAGACUAAUUUAAUAUUUUUGAACAAAUUUCAUAGACAAAUCAAUUUCACAGUCAGUUGAAAAUUAUCAUAAUAAUCAUGUAAUUUUCAUUCAGAUGUUUAUUCACAAUUAAUUCAAUUAAUUUUUCAGAUUAAGAUAUGAGGGUGUGAUAGGAUAUCUAGACUAAUCAAUUAUAAAUCAUGUCUUAUCUAGGGUUGACACUUGAAGUGAUAGUAUACAAAAAUGUAUUUCAAACCAGCUAUCAUCUUAAAUUGCCUUUGUAAAUAUAUAUAUGAAAAUAUGAGUAUGGCCGGUUUGAGCAUGCAUAUAAAUUUUUAAGUUUCUUUUGAAUGCUCAUGUUUUAACUCUUUCUAAUUUUCUUUUAAUACACGCUCUUUUUAAUUCAUAGAGUUUAAUAUUACAUAGCUAUAAGGGUAGCUUCUUUCUCCUGACUUAUGUUUAUUAGCAAGAAUGACUUCACACACCAAUGGUGGUAGUCAUCUCCUCCAUUGAACUGGCUUAUUAACAAAACAUCAUAUUGUAGUAUGGAGAGACAUAGAUGCUGACCAUAUGUCUGCACUCAAAAACUUGUCACCUUAAGAUGACAACAUACUCGGUAAAUGGUCACAAUUGAAUUGGUCACAAUGCCCUGAAAGUACUCAACUGAAAAUAAUUUACCAUAAGCUAUAAUGAGCACAUCAUACUGGUUGGAAAAUCCGUUUUUAUCUCAACAAUUGCAAACCAGUUAGAAAUUCACAUCUUGUGACAUUUGCAAGCAAAGUCCCAUUUGUUUUUAUACUUCAUAAUUUUUAUACAACAAAUGUAAAACAAAUGCACCCAAAGUAAACACACAAAAGAUAAUAAAAGAUAUGUAUAUCAAACUGGUUUAAUGCAUCAUGCAUAUGCAUACGAUUUUUCACAGUAUUUCAAAUCUAGCAUUAUCUAAAGCCUUGAUGAAUAAAUUAUCCAGUUAUCAUUCAAUAUUAAUGUGUUCUAAGAUAAUUACAUUUUUCUUAAUGAAGUCCCGGAUAAAGUGGUGUCUAAUGUCAAUAUGCUUAGUUCUAGAAUGUUAAAUAGGAUUCUUAGAGAGAUUAAUUACAUCGAUGUGAUCACAAAACAUGGUAAUAGAGUCUUGAUCAAUACAAUAGUCAUUGAGCAUCUCCUUCAUCCCGAGUAGCUAUGUGUAGUAACUAACGACAUCAAUAUACUCAUCUUUUAUAAUUGACAAGGAUUUAGAGGUUUUUUUAUUUUUUAUUUUUAUUUUUAUUUUUAUUUUUUUUGAACUUAGCCAAUGUAUAAGGUUAUUACUUAUGUAGAAACAACCUCUAUGCUUUUCUACCAUCUAUGUUUCUAAUCCAAUCGACAUCUGUAUAUCCUGCAAGAUGAGGAUUUAUCUCUUUAGUGUACCAUAAGCUAAAGAUGGAAAUGCUAUUGACAUAUCUAAUCACUUGUUUACAAGCUGUCAACUAAGACUCAAUUUGCUUGGCUUGAUAUCUUGCACAGACGUCAAAAUUGAAGCCUAUGUUAGGAUAUCUUGCAAUCAAAUACAAUAAGCUGCCAAUCAUGCUCCUGUAUAAACUAUGGCAACGUCCUUGCACUGGUAAUCUCGGCAGAGCUUUAAGGACAUAGCCAUGGGAGUCCUGACUGCUUUGGUAUUCUACAGACCAAAUUUAUUCACAAGAUUCUUUGCGUACUUAGCCUAUAAAAU
RNAcentral lists this long non-coding RNA (26399 nucleotides) under Olea europaea (common olive). Its description in RNAcentral is "long non-coding RNA (OEUR_LNC011317)". The record is from RNAcentral. Lineage: Eukaryota; Viridiplantae; Streptophyta; Magnoliopsida; Lamiales; Oleaceae.